CACUGAGAAUUUAAAGGGCUGCGGUAAUUUGACCGUGCAAAGGUAGCAUAAUCAAUAGUCUUUUAAUUGGAGGCUUGAAUGAAAGGUUUGACGGAGGAAAAACUGUCUUAAUAGUUAGAGUUGAAUUUAACAUUUGUGUGAAAAGGCAUUAAUGGGUUAGAGGGACGAUAAGACCCUAUAAAACUUUACAUAUUAUAUUUUUUAGUUGAAUUGUUGAAUUAAUUAUUAAAUGGUUAAUUGUGUUUUGCUGGGGCGGCAGAAAUAUAAGUUUAACUGUUUUAAAUGUAAAAUAUUUAUUAAUAUAAAAUGUUCCUUAAUUUGAGAGGUAAGAGUAAGUUACUUUAGGGAUAACAGCAUAAUUUCUUCUGAGAGUUCUUAUCGAAGAUGAUAGUUGUGACCUCGAUGUUGAAUUAAAUUUUCUUUUAGGUGUAGGAGUUUAAAAGGGAAGG
This 449-nucleotide ribosomal RNA is filed under the name Synalpheus nr. sanctithomae KMH-2011. RNAcentral's name for it is "partial 16S ribosomal RNA". It matches the Rfam family "Bacterial large subunit ribosomal RNA", at positions 1910 to 2575 of the family's 2925-position model. Lineage: Eukaryota; Metazoa; Arthropoda; Malacostraca; Decapoda; Alpheidae. The record is from RNAcentral.